Molecule: ribosomal RNA, 253 nt
Filed under: uncultured bacterium
Lineage: Bacteria
Description: partial 16S ribosomal RNA
Rfam family: Bacterial small subunit ribosomal RNA
Source: RNAcentral
UACGUAGGGUGCAAGCGUUGUCCGGAAUUAUUGGGCGUAAAGAGCUCGUAGGCGGUUUGUCGCGUCGGAUGUGAAAACCCGGGGCUCAACCCCGGGCCUGCAUUCGAUACGGGCAGACUAGAGUUCGGUAGGGGAGUCUGGAAUUCCUGGUGUAGCGGUGAAAUGCGCAGAUAUCAAGCGGAACACCGGUGGCGAAGGCGGCCUUCUGGACAGUGACUGACGCUGAGACGCUAAAGCGUGGGGAGCAAACAGG